Long non-coding RNA from Monomorium pharaonis (pharaoh ant), 9016 nucleotides. RefSeq lists it as uncharacterized. The transcript is spliced from 5 exons. The record is from RefSeq and is a predicted model, not a curated record. NCBI's taxonomy places the organism in Eukaryota, Metazoa, Arthropoda, Insecta, Hymenoptera, Formicidae.
ACCUUCCCUGUUAUAAAAUAUAUAACGAUUAUAAAAUAUAGCGUGGCUUCUCAACACCUAAAUAAGCGUUAUUGUUUAGUAUUCGUGCGUCUUACCUUGUGUGAAGUGAUAUCGUAGAAAUUAGGAUAAGAUAGGUCGUAAUGAAUUGAAGUUAUUAAUGAGUUAUUUCAAGAUUCGCUCUUUAUGCGAGAUUGCUUUUCCCGAACAAGUGCGACUGUUUUAAUUUUAACUCUUUAUGUUCAGCAACUAGUGGUAUGCUCAGUACGAGGUGAUCAUACUCAGGAAGUGACUGAGAUGAUCAUCGUUCAGGACCCUAGACGUAUGGGCAAGCCCAACAAACUCGCCAAUACCAGUGACAAGCCGGCGGAACAAGAACUCGGCGUUAAUAACGCAGACGCACUGAACUCUUGCUGAACUUGAAUCGACGAAUGGCAACUGGUGGUAUAUUCAGUACGAGGUGAUCAUCCCAGGGGGUACUAAGAUGACCAUCGUUCAGGGCCCUAGACGUAUGGGACAAGUCCAACAAACCCGUCAAUACCAGUGACGAGCCGGCGGAACAUGAACUCGGCGUUAAACAACGCAGACGCACUGAAAUCUUGCCAUUCGAUAAUGUAAUAAGUAUUGAACAAGACGCAUGGUCACUCUUGAAAAGGAGAAAGUAAAAUUGGAGAGUAAUUAUUCCCUGAUGUUGAAUAUUAAAUAAUAAAUUGGUUAAUUAAUUAGAAUAUGUUGCUUAAAAUUUAUUUGAUUGUCUGGAAAAUUAUAAUUAACAAGCCGACGGAUCAAGGCUGGUAUUACCUCGCUGCAACAUAGAUAUUAAAUAUCGACAUGCUCAGCUUGUUAUCACCAGGAGUACCCUCAACGGGCUCCAGUCAGCUAAUACAACCAAGCUGUUGGGUGACUGAGCUCGACUUCUUAUUUUAAGUAGCCGACGCAACGAGACGGUGAUCUUUAUUGCACUCGAGAAAUUAUUUGUAAUGAAUUUAAUUUAGAGGGAAUAAUAGUAUCGAAAUAUUUAUUAAUGAAACGAUUCUUUAAUUUGUUUAUUACAAAGGUAGAGGGAUGCGAUCAGAAAUUUAUAUAUUUAGUUCAUUAAAAUAUCUUAAGUAUAGAAAACGAUUCAUCAGAUCACGAAUACUCCAUCCGUGUCUGAUUACUGUAAUAUACCGAGAUCGCAUAAAGGAUUAGGACCUAUAGGAGCACUUCACUGUCUAAAUUUGUUGUUAGCAAAGAGAUGCAAAUUAAUUAGUGGUUAUCAGACAAUAGAAAUAGACAUACAUAUAUAUAUUUGGUAAAAUAAUAUUGUUUUUCAAUCAAAUUCAAUCACGUGCAUAAGUAAUGCUAGUUAUUAAAUAAUAAUUGUCAAAAUAAUCAUUAAUCAGUAAUUGUAUUUAAUUGGAAUUAUUUAUAUGAAUUAAUUGUAAUAGAAUGUCAAAAUCUGAGAAACAAAAAUAUUUUAUUUAUGUAUAUAUUCAUUAUUUGGAUAUAAUAGCAGUUAGAAUUAGUGGUAAAUAUUUGGACAGAGAAAUAAAUAUGUUUUAUUUAUUUAAUAAUAAUUAAGAUUGACUGGAAAUGUGAUUUCAGUUAAUUAAAUAUUCUGUUAUGUAUAUUGUUGUGAUAAAUGAGUAAUAAUCCAAUUAAAUUUGAUUGAAAAUAUAAUUUACAUGUAUAAUGAAUGGUCAUAUGAGGUAAUAAUGGAAUUUGUUAGCAUAAUAAUUAUUGCAGGUAUUCAAAUACAGUAACAAUCAAUAUUCGAAUUGUAAAAGUGGUUACAAUUCAUUAAAAUAUAAUAUUUGGGCGUAAAUGCAAUUAUUUGGUUUAUUCAUUAAAUAUGUGACUAAGUUUGAUAAUAUUCAAAUUAAAGGUAAUUAAGUUUCAUUAAAAAUGCAAUAUCUGUAAUAAUUACAAUUGAUUUAAUAAUUGAUUUUGUUAUAUAGUCACAUAGGAUCAGAUACUAUUAGUAUUUAAGGAAGUAAUAAUUUAGAUUUAUUAAAUUGAGUUAUUUAUAAUUCCUUAGAUAAUUGCAAUUAAUAAUUAAUAUAUCGAACAUUGAUUGUGUGAAAUUCCAAGCAAUUAGGCAAUUUAUUCAAUAAACAAUGAAUAUAAAUUCAGUUAAUUAAAUUGUAGGUUGAAUAACAAUUUUGUGAUACAGUGUAUAAUUUCAGUUGAUUGAAUAAUUAGUUAAAUAUUAAAUAAAUAUAAUUUAUUUGGAUUGAAUAUAAAAAAUAUUAAAAUGUGGUCAUGUAUGAAAUUGCAAUUAGUAAAAUAAUUAAUUGAAUAGUGAAAUAUAUGUAGUUAAUUAUAUAAUCGUUUGGAUAUUGAGUAAGUAAUUAUGUAUGUAAUCUCAGUAGGUUGAAUAAUUAAUUAAAUAUUAAGUUAAUAUAAUUCCAGUCAAUUAAAUAAUUAAUUAAUUAUUAAAUAAGUGAUUACGUGCGGCAAUAGUGUAUCUUGUUCAAAUAAAUAGUAAUUCAACUAGUCAGAGACAUGAAAUAAGAUUUCGACACAUAUAUAUAUAUACUUCAGUGAAAUAAGUGUGAAUUAAUUGUAUUAAACUUACCAAAUUGUUUGUAGAACAGCUAGGGGCGUGAAAUGAAUUAGAGCUGGACCCCGAAAUUCGUUAUAAUUUGUCUUUAUUGUAUGAGAAUACAGUCUUGGGUGUGUCGACAAAAUGGCGGUCGUGCGCGAUUUGGCGGUAAGUUUCGUCGUUGAAGUGAUACGUAUUUUAAGAUCUUUACUUCUUGAAGGGUCCGCACGCAAUUUAGAUGUUUUCUGCUUGAAGGGUCCGCACGCAAUGCCGUUCCGCCGCGGCGAGCGCUCUUAUAUACUGUCAGUUUGGAAGCCGCGGGGUGCGGUGUGAGGUAGGGAUUGCAUCAGCCGCAGGUGUUACUUCAAAAGAUGCCGCCGGCGACAGUCUGGCGGUUACAUUCUCGGAAUUUAGUCUGGGGGUGUCUUUGAGUUUUGCCGACCGUCGCUGCGUACUUCGUCUUUUAAGACUUUUAUAAAAUAUUAUUUUACGCAGUGAAUAUUUCAGAGUUUCUCAACUAUUACAGUGAUGCUCACGCUGGGGAUCUUUCCCUUUUAGUUUUUAAUAUUUAUAAAAAUCUCGAACGCCUUCGAGAAUGUUCUAGAAAGUUCUAGAACAUUCUAGAAGGUUCUAGAAGAAUUGGUGAGGCUGUUAUAUAAUACUUUAAAAUUUUAUAUCUUGACAACGAUGAGGGGGUCGAGGGUUGGGGUUGGAACUUUAAAAGUAUAUAGAGGGUGGACCCUAGGGAGUAGUAGGGGUGUGUGGUUCAUCGAACGCGGUAUACGCGGUGGCCUCAGUCAAGUGUUCAGGCAGACAUGCGCGAGCCAAUAACAAGUACAUGCAGACGUACGACCCAUUGAAACCAUCCUCAUAUCUUAUGUACUUUGACGUGAAUAAUUUGUACGGAUGGGCAAUGUGUCAGCCACUGCCCUAUGGAGAAUUUCAAUGGGUUGAAGAUGUCUCUAAUUUUGACGUGUGUGCGAUCGCUCCUGAUUCACCAACGGGAUACAUUCUCGAAGUUGAUCUCAAGUAUCCUCGAGACCUUCACGAUGAGCACACUGACCUACCUUUCUGCCCGACACGCCAGGCAAGCGUGAAUAUAAACUUUUAGCGACCUUGUAUGAUAAGAAACGUUACGUCAUCCACUACCGCAACCUGCAGCAGUGCACGCGUCACGGUCUUCAUAUCGCGAAGAUACACCGUGUAUUAAAAUUCGCACAAUCUCCAUGGCUCUGUAAGUAUAUAGAGUUAAACACACAAUUCCGAAUCAUCGCUAAAAAUGAUUUCGAAAAAAAACUUGUAUAAAUUAAUGAAUAAUGCGGUGUUUGGUAAAACCAUGGAGAAUGUGCGCAAUCAUGUUAACGUUAAAUUGUUGACGACAUGGGCGGGGCGGUAUGGUGCGGAGACAAUGAUCGCGAAACCAAAUUUUCAUAGUCGAAGUAUUUUUGCGGAAAAUUGGUUACACGACAUUAGUCCGAAAACUAGAUGGGGAAAAUGUUGGUACCAACAAAAUUCUCUAGACAUUUCAAUUUCAAUUUUUACAGGUUAGUAACACUGUUUAAGUAGUAAAUCCACGAGUGUGCGGAGACGUUUUGACGUAUGCGCGCGUCAAAAAUAAUAAAUAUCGCUCAAUUAUUUGUAGGAUGUUAACAGCCAGAGAACAAUUCCCUGCCGAGUAAAGCUGCCAAAUUCAGAGUCUGCUAUGUUCCCAAGUGUGCCAAAAUUGUAAGCAAAAGUAAAAAUUACAUUGUAACAUUAGAUUUAUUAUCAACAAUGCAGCAACGGAUUGAUACCAUAAACUGAGAAAUCAGAUUUGUCGAAACUGUUGUAUUACAAAGAACAUGUGCUGUUUGUACCAGCAAUGUACUAACAUUGUUUACUAGUAGAAAUACUGUUGUGCUUAUUGUCAAUCUGUUAUCAACGCUUUCGACAGACCUGCUUGUUGUUCAUUGUCACUUUGUUAUACAGUCUACUGACUGGUAUAUACAUUUUAUGUUUCAGUAGACAGAAAAUGUGCUACCCGCAUUAGCAUUUGCGAGAAUGGAUUUGGAGUAUCAAUGGAAUGCUUGUCCAGAAAUCAAGGAUUAUUGUUGCUAUAACGUUUCGUUCGUGCCCAAAAUUGUGGAUGCCUCGCAAAACUUCUAAUACGCUUUUGAUGUUCAGAAAGGUAAACUGUAAAUAGAUAGUAAAUAUUGCAUUUUAAGAAUAAUUAAUAUGGUAUGGAAAUAUGUUUACAAAAUAUGGCAUUUAAGUUACCAAAAAAUUCAGCAAUUGUUGUGUGUUUUUUCAGAUUUAACCGAAGUUCUCGGUUGUGUCUUUUUGAUACAUUAUUGGUUCGGUGUAUUUGUUGGAAAACCGAAAAAGAUUCAGGCUUAAAACUGUUUAUCCACGUGUCUUUAUAAUAUUGGAAGAAAGACUGUAAAUAUGUGCAAUCUUGGAAAAUAAUUCCCGAUAUCAGAUUGAAGCCUUCUACUAUUAAUUUUUUUGGUAAAAAGGCUAAUGAUAUCAAUAAUUUUGUGGCGCCCCAACCUACACCAUUUUUAUCAUUUUUUAAUAUGCCGUGCUUUUCAGCAUUGUGUACUAACGCCUGUAAUAGGAAAUUAAUACAAUUAAAAUUGAUUUACAUUUUUGUUAAUUAAGUUUAGUUAUUUUUUAUUACCUGGCUGUAGUGGAAGUAGCCAAUAAUUUUAUUGGGAAAAACCGUACGCAAAGCUUUUUGUUCGGCUUUUUCAAAGUCUGACAUUGCAAUGUCAGGAUUUAUUUUUAAUAUAUUUUUUAUUUUUUUUAACACAUUGACAUAAUUUUGUGUUGUGCGUCCUUCCAUAAUAGUGUACACUAUUGGAAAUGUCUAAAAAAUUUCUAAAAGGUAUCAAUGUUUACUGGGUACGUUUCGUUCGUGCCCAAAAUUGUGGAUGCCUCGCAAAACUUCUAAUACGCUUUUGAUGUUUAGAAAGGUAAACUGUAAAUAGAUAGUAAAUAUUGCAUUUUAAGAAUAAUCAAUAUGAUAUGGAACAUGCUUACAAAAUGAGGCGUUCAAUAUAUCUAAAAAUUCAGCAAUUGUGUUUUUUCAGAUUUAACCGAAGUUCUCAAGGUUGUCUUUUAGAGACGUUAUUAAUUCCUGUCUAUUUAUUGACAAACCGAGAAAGAAGCCGACUUAAAGCGGGUUUAUCCACGUAUCUUCAUAAUACUGGAGAAAGGACUGCAAGGGCGUGCAAUUUUUGAUCAUAUUUCUCGAUAUUAUAUUGAAGCCUUCUACUAUUAAUGUUUCGGAUGAAAAAGCUUAAUAUUAACAGUUUUGUUGCACUACAACCUACACUAUUCUUGUAAUUUUUUAAUAUUCUAUACUUUUCUACAUUGUAUACUAUUGCCUGUAAUAAUAAAUUAACACGAUUAAAAUUGACUUGCAUUUUUUGUUAAUUAAGCGUACUAUUAUUUUUUAUUCUAACUGUAAUUGUAAAUAGUUAAUAAUUUUAGUAUCGAGGAAAACCGUAUGUAGUGAUUUUUGUUUGAUUUUUUCAAAAUCGUUGCUAUGUCAAGAUUUAUUUUCAAAAUAUUAGUGAUUUUAAAAAAUACGUUAAUAUAUUGCGUAGUGCUUUCAUUAUACAUUAUUCGAAAUGUCUGAAAAAUUUAAAAUUACAUUUAAUUAAUAUGUACAUAAAUUGUGGAAUUCUUGUUGUGAUUAAAUGAACUAAUUACUUAAAGAAUAAAUUAAAAAUGGACUAAUUUUAUUACUUACUCUAUUAUCAUAUCUUAUGACACCUGUCUAUAACUGACAAUUAAAAUUUUUUAGUUGAGUUUCUGUGUCAAAAGUUCCAUCAACAAAAAUAACUUUUUGUUUAAAUUAUUUACUAUUAAAUUCGAUAACGUCUUAUUAAUAAAAAUAAGCUUUUGUUGUAUUGUCUGUAAUAAUAGAUUCUACUACGAAUAAAUUUGUUUUGUCUAUUUUUAAUAAUUGUUUCUAAUUUUCUUUUUUUUAACAAGUAUAUACAUAAUUCGUAUAGAUUUUGUGGAAUCCGUGCGAUAUUUUUCUUUUUAUGGCGUUCUACAAAUUUCUCUAUAUUUACGAUAUUUGUUAAAUUUAAUAAAUAAUCGUAUCUAGAAAUAAAUUUACAAAUUACGAUUUAUCCAUAUAAUCAUUAAUCUUCACCAUAAUAAUUUAUUAUUUUCUAUUUUAUCUUUUUUAAUUUACUUAGAGAUAAUCGUAUUUUUUAUUUCCCUCAUUAUUUUAAAGGGUUGAGAUGCCUUAAUUAAUUUCUUAAUGUCAUCUAAUUGCACUGAUUUUUCGUGUCCUUCGUGUCUUCCACUUACAAUACAUUCACCAUUUUUUAUUUUUAGACGUGCUUUGAACUUCACAUCUUUAUUUUUUCUAUAAUCGUGAUACCUACCAGAAAAUUAUUUACUAUUAAAUACCUUAAAUAUAAUUAAUGUCAUGUUUUUCUACGCUGAUUGUGUAGGAAAAAUGUUAUCAAUAUUUUUUACAGGAUGUUUAAUUAAAAUUACGUCAAACACCGCGCGCUUUACUACAAUUAUUCGUUAUACUUUUGUUUUGUAUUAUGCAUUUGUUUCUCUGUUUCAAUCUUUCUGAUUGUUAUAGUAACCUAAUUGUUUAGCGUUAUUUAUUGUAUUGUGUCCAAAGUUGUGUAUACAUUUCUCCAUUAUGGCAGAAAAAGCAAAAUACAAUUUUGCGAGGAUUCAGAAAACAAAAGGAUAAUUAUAUGAAGGAUAUAAUUUCCAUCUGGAUAACUCAUACGCAGAUACUAAGUAAACAGAAAUGAUUAACAGUGAAAUUUAGAGUUACAAUUAAGAUUAUAAUAUAGAAAAAUAAAAGAGCAGUUUUCUAUUUGUAUAUAUAUAUAUAUAUAUAUAUGUACUAUCAAUUUUUUAACAAAUUAAUUAUUAAUUCUUUUAAUAAGUGUAUGAGAAAUAAUUAAAAUUUUUGAUGCUUCACAUUCUGUAAAAAAAAUUGAUAACGUUUGUCCUAUACAAUCAGCGUAGAAAAACAUUAUAUUAUAUUUAAUGUAUUUAAUACUAAAUAAUUUUCUGGCAGGUAUUACCGUUGUAGUUAUAAAAAAAAUAAAGAUGUGCAAUGCAAAGCACGCCUAAAGAUAAAAAAUGGCAAAUAUAUUUUAAGUGGAAGACACGAACACGAAAGGCCAGUGCAAUUAGAUAAUAUAAAAAAAGAGAUUAAGGAAUCUCAACCCUUUGAAACAUCGAGGGAAAUAAAAAAUAGAAUCAUCUCUAAAUACGAUCAUUUAUUAAAUUUUACAAAUAUUGCAAAUAUUGAAAAAUCUAUAGAAAGGCAUAAAAAGAAAAAUAUCAAACGGAUUCCACAAAAUCUGAAUGAGUUAAAUAUUUCUUUAAAAAGUAACAAUUGGCAAGAAUUAUUAAAAAUAGAGAAAGAAGACUCAUUCGUCGUAGAAUCCGUUGUUACAAACAAUUUAACAAAGACACUGAUUUUUAUUGAUAAAACGUUAUCAAAUUUGCUGUUAAAUACUUUAACUGACAAGUUAACAAUUUUUGUCGAUGGAACUUUUGCUACAGUUCCUCAAUUAAAAAAUACGAAUUGUCAGUUAUGGACAAUUGUUCUAAGACAUGAUAACAGAGUAAGUAAAAUAAUUAGUCCAUUUAUUAUUUAUUAUUUAAAUUGAUUUAUUUAAUCAUAACAGGAAUUCUAUAUUUUACAUAAAUGUAAAUUAAAUAUAAUUUUUAAAUUUUUUAGACAUUUCCAAUAGUGUACACUAUUAUGGAAGGACGCACAACACAAAAUUAUGUCAAUGUGUUAAAAAAAAUAAAAAAUAUAUUAAAAAUAAAUCCUGACAUUGCAAUGUCAGACUUUGAAAAAGCCGAACAAAAAGCUUUGCGUACGGUUUUUCCCAAUAAAAUUAUUGGCUACUUCCACUACAGCCAGGUAAUAAAAAAUAACUAAACUUAAUUAACAAAAAUGUAAAUCAAUUUUAAUUGUAUUAAUUUCCUAUUACAGGCGUUAGUACACAAUGCUGAAAAGCACGGCAUAUUAAAAAAUGAUAAAAAUGGUGUAGGUUGGGGCGCCACAAAAUUAUUGAUAUCAUUAGCCUUUUUACCAAAAAAAUUAAUAGUAGAAGGCUUCAAUCUGAUAUCGGGAAUUAUUUUCCAAGAUUGCACAUAUUUACAGUCUUUCUUCCAAUAUUAUAAAGACACGUGGAUAAACAGUUUUAAGCCUGAAUCUUUUUCGGUUUUCCAACAAAUACACCGAACCAAUAAUGUAUCAAAAAGACACAACCGAGAACUUCGGUUAAAUCUGAAAAAACACACAACAAUUGCUGAAUUUUUUGGUAACUUAAAUGCCAUAUUUUGUAAACAUAUUUCCAUACCAUAUUAAUUAUUCUUAAAAUGCAAUAUUUACUAUCUAUUUACAGUUUACCUUUCUGAACAUCAAAAGCGUAUUAGAAGUUUUGCGAGGCAUCCACAAUUUUGGGCACGAACGAAACGUUAUAGCCUAAAAGAAAAAGAAAA